RNAcentral lists this ribosomal RNA (253 nucleotides) under uncultured bacterium. Its description in RNAcentral is "partial 16S ribosomal RNA". It matches the Rfam family "Bacterial small subunit ribosomal RNA", at positions 524 to 776 of the family's 1533-position model. The record is from RNAcentral.
UACGUAGGUGGCAAGCGUUGUCCGGAUUUACUGGGCGUAAAGGGCGUGCAGGCGGUUCGUUUAGUCUAGGGUGAAAGCUCCCGGCUCAACUGGGAGAGGUCCUUGGAUACUGGCGAACUUGAGGGAUGCAGAGGAAAGUGGAAUUCCCGGUGUAGUGGUGAUAUGCGUAGAUAUCGGGAGGAACACCAGUGGCGAAGGCGGCUUUCUGGGCAUUACCUGACGCUGAGACGCGAAAGCGUGGGGAGCGAACCGG